UAAAGUUCAUCACUUUGUAGUUUUAAAUCAUGUAAUUUGUAUUAUGUCCAUUCACAGUGUACUUUUGUUCUAUGCUUAUUUUUUUUAAGUCCGAAAGAAAAUCAGGAUAGAAGAAUUAAAAGGGUUGAAGCAGGUUUGAUGUUAUUUGGACUUGCAUUCAUCUUUCACUUAGAUCAGUGUUGCCCAAUUCCAGUCUUCAGGCCCCCCUGCCUGCAUGUUUUAGAUGUGCCUCUAUACCAGAACAGCUGAUUCAAAUGAUUGCAUGACAUCUUCUGCAGCCACCAAGUACUACAGGAGCCUGUUAAUCACCCAAAGAUUCAAUCCAGACUGUGUGCUGAUGGCCACACCUUCGCCAAAGCAGCCGAGGCACAAAUUGAGGUACAAAGGAUACCACCAAUCUUACAGAUGCCUCUGCAUGAACUUGAAGCUGUUCACCAGGAGGAGGUUCUGACCCAGGAGACACAGCUGACCUCACCUUGGCAUUGACCUGCAGGUCCUUUCAAGCCAUUGUGUCUGACCCAGUUUUCAGGAAGAAGACUCACUUUGCUUGGCUGGACGAUCAACUGGGGUAAAUUUUCAUAGUCAUUCCAGGCAGAAAACCGGAUUCCUCUUGCUGUUGUAACGUGUUUUUCCUGCCACCGGCGAUAUAAAGUCUGGUGAAGACUGCUGGUCUUCACCAGCAGUGGAAGACCAGGAGAGAUCCCUCCUUAUUACUGUGAUGGCUCAUCUGGACCCUGACCUGAAUGUCAACACUGAAUGCAAGGAGAAUAUUAGUUGCUUUCCACAAUCUGUCACACAUUGUUGUUAGUUUUUUUUUGUGACAUGUCAUUUUAAAUAGUUUCUGCUAAAGCACAUAUAUCUUUUGACUUGUGCAGUCAUCCUUUUUCAUAAUGUGUUCUUUCAAUAUUAUGUACAUUUUUGAAAGUUUCUUUUGUUGUAGCUCCGUUGAUUUACAUCAUUUAGUUUUCAUAGAAAUGGUGUCGUUUUCACAUAAAGUUACUUUGUGGCUGUAACUUUAUGUGGAACCAAUAAAGUAGUUGUAAAUAUAUUGUAACGGUGUUGUUUAAGACGUUAAAUUUUUUUAAUCACAUCAUGUGUUAAUGCGACAGCCCUAAACUACACCCACAGGUGUGUCUCCAUUUAUCUAAAUGUUGUGAAUCAGAAGCUUAAAAAGCCUCGUCGUCAUGUUCCCCAAUUGGUUUAAAAGUAAAUUUGAUCUUAGUCAAUGCAAACAUCUAUUGUUUUUUGUAGUUGCUGCUGUUAGGAAGUAACAAUUUUCUUUAUCCUGACAUUUAAGCAACUAUAAAUAAUUUCUAAAAUUUAUCUGAAAUGGGCAUUUUAGAUUGAAUUAAUAGCAAGCAGUAGAAAAAGCUGUCAUUUUAAACAUUUAAUUUAAAUCUGGUUUUAUUUGUACAUCCAAAAAUGAGGGGUUUUUUAAAUCUGCUUUAAAAUCACAGUCUAGGUUUCCCUUAUGUCUCUCUCUGAGAGAUAAGCUGUUACCUAGAGCAGAAGUGUUUGUGUUUUAUUUACAAAGAAAUUUGAAGAACUGAAAUAAAACCAGAACCAGAAUCAAUACGCCAUGUUUCUCCAGAUUGAAAAUGGGAAACUUUGACACUCUCAUGACCAGUUGCACAUUACUUUUAAUUCAAGAAUUAAAUUUAAAUAUCUGUGCAACAUAAUUUUUCAUGUGUUGUAAAUUUACCCUAUAUCUUUUUUAGGUUGCUUUGAAUAUGGAUGCAUUCAAAACAUUUGGACAAUAAAAGAUAUUUCUUUUCUAUUUGGUGGCUUUUUAGACCAACUUAUAGAUUAAAUUUUUUUUGUCCACAAAACUCCAGUCGGGUUGUUUCCUGAUUAUUGGGGCCUGCCCAUAGCA
Long non-coding RNA from Gambusia affinis (western mosquitofish), 1873 nucleotides. RefSeq lists it as uncharacterized. NCBI's taxonomy places the organism in Eukaryota, Metazoa, Chordata, Actinopteri, Cyprinodontiformes, Poeciliidae. The record is from RefSeq and is a predicted model, not a curated record. The transcript is spliced from 5 exons.